UAACUUUCCAAUGAUUCCAAAAGGAAAAAAAAUUUGUGAAUUUUGCUGUGCUCGCUGGAGCUUCAGUCUCUAGCUACUUAGUCAGUGGUCUGAUCUCACAUUUGAUCGGAGAUCGAGAUCAUCAUCAGAAACAAAAGGUGAUCGGAGAGAAAAUGGGAAGGGCUCCAUGUUGCUCCAAGGUAGGGUUGCAUAGAGGACCAUGGACUCCUAGAGAAGACACAUUGCUUACAAAGUAUAUUCAAGCUCGUUGAAGGCAACUGGAGGUCUUUGCCUAAAAAAGCUGGUCUCCUCAGAUGUGGAAAGAGCUGUAGGCUAAGAUGGAUGAAUUAUCUACGGCCAGAUAUUAAGAGAGGGAACAUCACUCCUGAUGAGGAUGAUCUUAUAAUCAGAAUGCAUUCCCUGCUUGGAAACCGAUGGUCUCUCAUCGCUGGAAGGCUUCCAGGUCGAACUGAUAAUGAGAUCAAGAAUUAUUGGAACACUCAUCUUAGUAAGAAACUUAGAAGCCAAGGAACUGAUCCUAAUACUCAUAAAAAAUUGGCAGAGCCAGUUCAACAGCAAGGAAAAAAGAGGAAAAAUAACAAGAGCAACUCCAACAACAAGAAACGCAAGAAAAAUAAAGCCAAAGUAGAACCAGAAAAGCCCAAGAUCCAUCUCCCCAAGCCUGUUAGGUUUUCUUCUUUAUUUUUGCCAAGAAAUGACAGUUUUGAGGGCAAUACUAGUCUGUCUUCAUGCCAAGGAGGAGAGGUUGGUUUAAGUGCAGAAGCUGUCGUAGACAAUCCUUGGUGUAAUUUGAAGGAUGAUGAUGAUGGGAUUAGCUUUCUUGUUGAUCAUGACAUUGUUAACAGCACAGAUCUUGAAUGCCAGACUCUUGUACCGACAGCAAACAACAACCUAGAGAAGCUUUAUGAAGAGUAUCUGCAGCUCCUGAAGACGGAUGAUGAACAAGGACAAUUAGACUACUCUUUUGCCGAAUCAUUGUAGCUAUGAGAGUGUCACGCAUGCCUAGCUAGUUCAUAAGACUUUGAAAGUGUCGGAUGUGCCUAGAGCUUUUCUUUCAUUUUUUUUUUUCUCUGAUCUCUUGUAAAU
This 1086-nucleotide unclassified non-coding RNA is filed under the name Hevea brasiliensis (rubber tree). The record is from RNAcentral. Lineage: Eukaryota; Viridiplantae; Streptophyta; Magnoliopsida; Malpighiales; Euphorbiaceae.